UGAACGCUGGCGGCAUGCCUUACACAUGCAAGUCGAACGGUAACGGGUCUUCGGAUGCUGACGAGUGGCGAACGGGUGAGUAAUACAUCGGAACGUGCCCGGUAAUGGGGGAUAGCUCGGCGAAAGCCGGAUUAAUACCGCAUACGCCCUGAGGGGGAAAGUGGGGGAUCGCAAGACCUCACGUUAUUGGAGCGGCCGAUGGCUGAUUAGCUAGUUGGUAGGGUAAAGGCCUACCAAGGCGACGAUCAGUAGCUGGUCUGAGAGGACGAUCAGCCACACUGGGACUGAGACACGGCCCAGACUCCUACGGGAGGCAGCAGUGGGGAAUUUUGGACAAUGGGGGAAACCCUGAUCCAGCAAUGCCGCGUGUGCGAAGAAGGCCUUCGGGUUGUAAAGCACUUUUGUCAGGGAAGAAAUCCUUUGGGCUAAUACCCUAGGGGGAUGACGGUACCUGAAGAAUAAGCACCGGCUAACUACGUGCCAGCAGCCGCGGUAAUACGUAGGGUGCAAGCGUUAAUCGGAAUCACUGGGCGUAAAGCGUGCGCAGGCGGGUGUGUAAGACAGGUGUGAAAUCCCCGGGCUUAACCUGUGAAUUGCAUUUGUGACUGCACGACUAGAGUGUGUCAGAGGGGGGUGGAAUUCCGCGUGUAGCAGUGAAAUGCGUAGAUAUGUGGGGGAACACCAAUGGCGAAGGCAGCCCCCUGGGAUAACACUGACGCUCAUGCACGAAAGCGUGGGGAGCAAACAGGAUUAGAUACCAUGGUAGUCCACGCCCUAAGCGAUGUCAACUAGUUGUUGGGGAUUUACUUCCUUGGUAACGUAGCUAACGCGUGAAGUUGACCGCCUGGGGAGUACGGCCGCAAGGUUAAAACUCAAAGGAAUUGACGGGGACCCGCACAAGCGGUGGAUGAUGUGGAUUAAUUCGAUGCAACGCGAAAAACCUUACUUACCCUUGACAUGGCAGGAACUUUCCAGAGAUGGAUUGGUGCUCGAAAGAGAACCUGCACACAGGUGCUGCAUGGCUGUCGUCAGCUCGUGUCGUGAGAUGUUGGGUUAAGUCCCGCAACGAGCGCAACCCUUGUCAUUAGUUGCUACGAAAGGGCACUCUAAUGAGACUGCCGGCGACAAACCGGAGGAAGGUGGGGAUGACGUCAAGUCCUCAUGGCCCUUAUGGGUAGGGCUUCACACGUCAUACAAUGGUCGGUACAGAGGGUUGCCAAGCCGCGAGGUGGAGCCAAUCCCAGAAAACCGAUCGUAGUCCGGAUCGCAGUCUGCAACUCGACUGCGUGAAGUCGGAAUCGCUAGUAAUCGCGGAUCAGAAUGCCGCGGUGAAUACGUUCCCGGGUCUUGUACACACCGCCCGUCACACCAUGGGAGUGGGUUCUACCAGAAGUGGCUAGUCUAACCGCAAGGAGGACGGUCACCACGGUAGGAUUCAUGACUGGGGUG
RNAcentral lists this ribosomal RNA (1449 nucleotides) under uncultured organism. RNAcentral describes it as "SSU rRNA". It matches the Rfam family "Bacterial small subunit ribosomal RNA". The record is from RNAcentral.